GACGAACGCUGGCGGCGUGCUUAACACAUGCAAGUCGUACGGUAAGGCCCUUUCGGGGGUCCACGAGUGGCGAACGGGUGAGUAACACGUGAGUAACCUGCCCACAACUUUGGGAUAACGCUAGGAAACUGGUGCUAAUACUGGAUAUGUGCUCCUGCUGCAUGGUGGGGGUUGGAAAGCUCCGGCGGUUGUGGAUGGACUCGCGGCCUAUCAGCUUGUUGGUGGGGUAGUGGCCUACCAAGGCGGCGACGGGUAGCCGGCCUGAGAGGGUGACCGGCCACAUUGGGACUGAGAGACGGCCCAGACUCCUACGGGAGGCAGCAGGGGGGAAUAUUGCACAAUGGGCGCAAGCCUGAUGCAGCAACGCCGCGUGCGGGAUGACGGCCUUCGGGUUGUAAACCGCUUUCAGCAGGGACGAAGCUUUUUGUGACGGUACCUGCAGAAGAAGCACCGGCUAACUACGUG
Molecule: ribosomal RNA, 465 nt
Filed under: uncultured bacterium
Lineage: Bacteria
Description: partial 16S ribosomal RNA
Rfam family: Bacterial small subunit ribosomal RNA
Source: RNAcentral